Molecule: ribosomal RNA, 490 nt
Filed under: uncultured bacterium
Lineage: Bacteria
Description: partial 16S ribosomal RNA
Rfam family: Bacterial small subunit ribosomal RNA
Source: RNAcentral
GAUGAACGCUAGCUACAGGCUUAACACAUGCAAGUCGCGGGGCAGCAUGGGGGUUGCUUGCAAUCCCCGAUGGCGACCGGCGCACGGGUGAGUAACGCGUAUUCAACCUGCCCUUCACCACGGGAUAACCCGGCGAAAGUCGGACUAAUACCGUAUGUUGUCCAUUGACGGCAUCCGAUUUGGACGAAAGGCUUGGCGGUGAGGGGUGGGGAUGCGUCCGAUUAGCCAGACGGCGGGGUAACGGCCCACCGUGGCUACGAUCGGUAGGGGUUCUGAGAGGAAGGUCCCCCACACGGGAACUGAGACACGGUCCAGACUCCUACGGGAGGCAGCAGUGAGGAAUAUUGGUCAAUGGGCGUAAGCAUGAACCAGCCAAGUAGCGUGCAGGAGGACGGCCCUAGGGGUUGUAAACUGCUUUUAUGCGGGGAUAAAGUGGCCCACGUGUGGGCUUUUGCAGGUACCGCAUGAAUAAGGACCGGCUAAUUCCGUG